RNAcentral lists this ribosomal RNA (497 nucleotides) under uncultured bacterium. RNAcentral's name for it is "partial 16S ribosomal RNA". It matches the Rfam family "Bacterial small subunit ribosomal RNA", at positions 28 to 507 of the family's 1533-position model. The record is from RNAcentral.
GACGAACGCUGGCGGCGUGCCUAAUACAUGUAAGUAGAACGCUGAAGCGAGGAGCUUGCUCUUCUUGGAUGAGUUGCGAACGGGUGAGUAACGCGUAGGUAACCUGCCUUGUAGCGGGGGAUAACUAUUGGAAACGAUAGCUAAUACCGCAUAACAAUGGAUGACACAUGUCAUUUAUUUGAAAGGGGCAAUUGCUCCACUACAAGAUGGACCUGCGUUGUAUUAGCUAGUAGGUGAGGUAAUGGCUCACCUAGGCGACGAUACAUAGCCGACCUGAGAGGGUGAUCGGCCACACUGGGACUGAGACACGGCCCAGACUCCUACGGGAGGCAGCAGUAGGGAAUCCUCGGCAAUGGGGGCAACCCUGACCGAGCAACGCCGCGUGAGUGAAGAAGGUUUUCGGAUCGUAAAGCUCUGUUGUAAGUCAAGAACGGGUGUGAGAGUGGAAAGUUCACACUGUGACGGUAGCUUACCAGAAAGGGACGGCUAACUACGUG